Molecule: long non-coding RNA, 3080 nt
Organism: Macaca nemestrina (pig-tailed macaque)
Lineage: Eukaryota; Metazoa; Chordata; Mammalia; Primates; Cercopithecidae
Source: Ensembl
UUCUGCCGCCACCUGAGCUUGCAUGUAAGGCCGCACCGAUACGCCAUUUCUUUUGCUGUGGUCACCACCGAGGCCAGGAGUUCAAGACCACCCCGGCCAACGUGGUGAAACCCCGUCUCUACUAAAAACACAAAAAUUAGCCGGGCGUGGCGAUGAGCACCUGUAAUCCCAGCUACUUGGGAGGCAGAGGCAGGAGACUUGUUUGAACCAGGGAGUCGGAGGUUGCAGUGAGCCGAGAUCAAGCCACUGCACUCCAGCCUGUGCGACAGACUGAAACUCUGUCUCAAAACAAAAACCAACUUUUUCGUUUUGUUUUGUUUUUUAAGAUACAGGGUCUCACUAUGUUAUCCAGGCUGAUCUCGAACUACUGGCCUCAGGCCAUCUUCCCACGUUGGCUUCCCAAAGCACUGAUUAUAGGCAUGAGCCACCAGACACUCGUCAGGCCGGAGCAGCAGGUGCUGCACAGAGCUGGGCCCAGAGAUCGCCAGCAGGGGACAGUUUAGACAUUCUGAUGUCGGCUCUGCUGAGGGGGGAAGUCGGGCCCCACCUUGGACAUACCAGUUUCCAUUUUCAAUGACAUCAGCCAGGACUGGCAGCUGCAGCAUUUUGUCAGCUGGAUGUGGUAUGAACGGGAGGUGCCCCUGCUGAAGCGAUGGAUCCGGGACCUGCACAUAAGAGUGGUGCUGAGGAUUGGCAGUGCCCACUUCUAUGCCAUUGUGGUCAGUGUGGCCAGGAGCAGGCAGGGCAGUGGGUGAUUGGUGUCCACAAGCUAGAGCAUGAAAGGGGCUACCUCCCCUUCGAGGCUGACAGCAGCAGUCUAUUCCGGGUGGGGCCCCUGCCCUCCCGCCUCUGCGUCAUCAACUGUCGCCAUCAACAACACGCUCGCCCCCCACCCUGCCACCAGGGACCAUCCGUACACGACCGACAACUCCAAGUGAGUACCAUCCUGCCUCCACUGCGCGCACCCACCUUCCCGCCCCACCCUGUGGUCUUCCUGCCAGGGACAGGGUGGCCUUCGCAGAGAGGAGGCCCUGAUCUGGGGAGGCAAGUGACCUGAGGGCAAAAGACCCAUGGCAAGGGCCCAGCGAACCACAGUCCUCCUGCCCUAGGUAUCCCAAGGGUUACUUUGUCCAGAACACAGACUUUGACUUCUUCAACUAUGCAGGACUACAGCGGUCUGUGCUUCUGUACACGACACCAACUACCUACAUCGAUGACAUCACCAUCACCACUGGUGUGGAGUGAGACAGAGGUGAGAGCUUCUGGUAGGAUCCUCCCUCAGCGGGGCUCAGGGUGGCUCUGUUUGUUACCUGUUUGGAAAGCUCUCCCAGGAAAAAGGUUCUCCCAGCAUCUCUAAACCUUCACAGGUUCCCAUCCACCUACGAAGCUAAAAUCCAGGCUGUCUGCGAGAUCACUCAUGUGGUUGAUCUUGCUUGGAGAAGAGGGGUCUGGCCUAACAUCACAUAGCUCAGGGUGGCAGCCCUGUCCCUUCCCCACGGUGCUGCUCUCACUCUAGCUCCCCUUGAUAUACAUCGUGCUCAAGGAACAGGCAGCUUCAGGGGGCCGGGUGCGGUGGCUCACGCCUGUCAUCCCAGCUCUUUGGUAGGAGGAUCACUUCAGGCCAAGAGUUCAAGACCAGGCUGGGCAACAUAGCAAGACCAUCAGCACAAAAAAUUUAAAAAUUCUCCAGUCAUGGUGAUGUGUGCUGGUAGUCCCAGCUGCUGAGACAGGAGAAUCAGUUGAGCCUGGGAGGUCAAGGGUGCAGUGAGCUGUGACCAUGUCACUGCACUCUGGUCUGGGCAACAGAGGGAGACCCUGUCUUUUUUGUUUGUAUUUGUUUUUGAGCUGGAGUCUCACUCUGUAGGAGCCCAGACUGGAGGGCACUGGUGCACUCUUGGGCUCACUGCAACCUCCACCUCCCAAGUUCAAGUGAUUCUCCUCCCUCAGCCUCCCUAGUAGCAGGGAUUACAGGCACCUUCCACCAUGUCCAGCCAAUUUUUGUGGUUUUUGUUUAGUAGAGACGGGGUUUCACCAUGUAGGCCUGGGUUGGUCUUGAACUCCUGACCUCAGAUGACUCACCUGCCUUGGCCUCCCAAAGUGCAAGGAUUACAGGUGUGAGCUACCGUGCAUGACUGGGAUACCUUGUUUUUAAGGAAAAAAAAUAUAUUUAUUUAUUUAUUUAUUUUUAAUAUAUCUUUUUCCUUUUGUGAGAUGAGGCCUUACACUGUCAACCAGGCUGGAUGGCAGUGGUACAAUGAUUGACAGCUGUUGUGGGGCCGCAGUUGUCAGUUUCAAAGAAUUUAGGCUGGGUGUGGUGGCUAAUGCCUGUCAUCCCAGCACUUUGGGAGGCCAUGGUGGGCGGAUCGCUUGAGCUCAAAGAUUAGAGACCAGCCUGGGCAACAUAGUGAGACCCUGUUUCAAAAAGAAUAAAUAAUUAAAAUAAAUAAAAAAUUUAAAUAAGAAACACACAGGAAAGGUGAUGCAGCAUAGAGCAAUUUAUUGUAAAGGGAAAAAUAUUUUGCAAGUGAAGUGCAGAAUAGCCCGGGCACAGUGGCUGACACCUGUAAUCCCAGCACUUUGGGAGGCUGAGGUGGGUGGAUGACCUGAGGCCAGGAGUUCUAGACCAGCCUGGCCAAUGUGGUGAAACCCCAUCUCACACUGUCUCCAAAAAAAAAAAAAAAAGACAGUAAGUGGUAGUACACACGUGUAAUCCCAGCUACUAGGGAAGCUGAGGCAGGAGAAUUGUUUGAACCCAGGAGGCAGAGGUUGCAGUGAACCAAGAUUGCCCCACUGCACUCCAGCCUGGGGAGCAGAGGGAGGCUCCCUCUCAAAAAAAAAAAUAAUAAUUAGCUGGGCGUGGUGGCAGGUGCCUGUAAUCCCAGCAACUCGGGAGGCUGAGGCAGGAGAAUAGCUUGAACUUGGUGGUCGGAGGUUGCAGUGAGCUGAGAUGGAGUCACUGCACUCCAGCAAUCCUGAGGAGACUUAAGAACUAAACAUAGUAUGGUCUCCUGGAUGAGAUCUUGGAACAGGAAAAGGACAUUAUGGGAAAUAGUAAAGAAAUCUGAAUCAAGAUAAACUUU